UACAUGGCACAUUCUCAAACCAAUGACUUCCUUUCUUCGUCCUCUUCUCUAUCACCAUCGCC
Molecule: small RNA, 62 nt
Filed under: Arabidopsis thaliana (thale cress)
Lineage: Eukaryota; Viridiplantae; Streptophyta; Magnoliopsida; Brassicales; Brassicaceae
Description: ATSL227030
Source: RNAcentral